GACGAACGCUGGCGGCGUGCUUAACACAUGCAAGUCGAACGGAAAGGCCCUGCUUUUGUGGGGUGCUCGAGUGGCGAACGGGUGAGUAACACGUGAGUAACCUGCCCUUGACUUUGGGAUAACUUCAGGAAACUGGGGCUAAUACCGGAUAGGAGCUCCUGCUGCAUGGUGGGGGUUGGAAAGUUUCGGCGGUUGGGGAUGGACUCGCGGCUUAUCAGCUUGUUGGUGGGGUAGUGGCUUACCAAGGCUUUGACGGGUAGCCGGCCUGAGAGGGUGACCGGCCACAAUGGGACUGAGAUACGGCCCAGACUCCUACGGGAGGCAGCAGUGGGGAGUAUUGCACAAUGGGCGGAAGCCUGAUGCAGCGACGCCGCGUGCGGGAUGACGGCCUUCGGGUUGUGAACCGCUUUCGCCUGAGACGAAGCGUGAGUGACGGUAAUGGGUAAAGAAGCACCGGCUAACUACGUG
This 468-nucleotide ribosomal RNA is filed under the name uncultured bacterium. RNAcentral describes it as "partial 16S ribosomal RNA". It matches the Rfam family "Bacterial small subunit ribosomal RNA", at positions 28 to 507 of the family's 1533-position model. The record is from RNAcentral.